RNAcentral lists this ribosomal RNA (468 nucleotides) under uncultured bacterium. RNAcentral's name for it is "bacterial SSU rRNA". It matches the Rfam family "Bacterial small subunit ribosomal RNA", at positions 56 to 507 of the family's 1533-position model. The record is from RNAcentral.
UGCAAGUCGAACGAAUGGAUGUCUAGCUUGCUAGACUGAAGUUAGUGGCGAACGGGUGAGUAAUACAUAGGCAAUCUGCCCUGAAGUGUGGGAUAGCUAUUGGAAACGAUAAUUAAUACCGCAUAGGUAGUAAGAAGGCAUCUUCCUACUAUUAAAGAUGCGUCUGCAUCGCUGCAGGAUGAGCUUAUGGUGUAUUAGCUAGUUGGUGAGAUAAAAGCCCACCAAGGCUAUGAUACAUAGCUGGUCUGAGAGGAUGAACAGCCACAUUGGGACUGAGACACGGCCCAGACUCCUACGGGAGGCAGCAGUAAGGAAUUUUCGGCAAUGGGGGCAACCCUGACCGAGCAACGCCGCGUGAGUGAUGAAGGUCUUCGGAUCGUAAAACUCUGUUGUAAAGGAAGAAUGUCAUAUAUAGGAAAUGAUAUAUGAGUGACGGUACUUUACUAGAAAGUCACGGCUUACUACGUG